This 578-nucleotide ribosomal RNA is filed under the name Acetobacteraceae bacterium AP38. RNAcentral describes it as "bacterial SSU rRNA". It matches the Rfam family "Bacterial small subunit ribosomal RNA", at positions 339 to 934 of the family's 1533-position model. The record is from RNAcentral. Lineage: Bacteria; Pseudomonadati; Pseudomonadota; Alphaproteobacteria; Acetobacterales; Acetobacteraceae.
CUACGGGAGGCAGCAGUGGGGAAUAUUGGACAAUGGGGGCAACCCUGAUCCAGCAAUGCCGCGUGUGUGAAGAAGGUCUUCGGAUUGUAAAGCACUUUCACUAGGGAAGAUGAUGACGGUACCUAGAGAAGAAGCCCCGGCUAACUUCGUGCCAGCAGCCGCGGUAAUACGAAGGGGGCUAGCGUUGCUCGGAAUGACUGGGCGUAAAGGGCGCGUAGGCUGUCUGUACAGUCAGAUGUGAAAUCCCCGGGCUUAACCUGGGAACUGCAUUUGAUACGUGCAGACUAGAGUCCGAGAGAGGGUUGUGGAAUUCCCAGUGUAGAGGUGAAAUUCGUAGAUAUUGGGAAGAACACCGGUUGCGAAGGCGGCAACCUGGCUCGGAACUGACGCUGAGGCGCGAAAGCGUGGGGAGCGAACAGGAUUAGAUACCCUGGUAGUCCACGCUGUAAACGAUGUGUGCUGGAUGUUGGGUGAUUUUAUCAUUCAGUGUCGGAGCUAACGCGUUAAGCACACCGCCUGGGGAGUACGGCCGCAAGGUUGAAACUCAAAGGAAUUGACGGGGGCCCGCACAAGCGGUG